RNAcentral lists this ribosomal RNA (254 nucleotides) under uncultured bacterium. Its description in RNAcentral is "partial 16S ribosomal RNA". It matches the Rfam family "Bacterial small subunit ribosomal RNA", at positions 524 to 776 of the family's 1533-position model. The record is from RNAcentral.
UACGGAGGGUGCAAGCGUUAAUCGGAAUUACUGGGCGUAAAGCGUGCGUAGGUGGUUCGUUAAGUCCGUUGUGAAAGCCCCGAGCUCAACUUGGGAAUUGCAGUGGAUACUGGCGAGCUGGAGUGCGGUAGAGGAAGGUGGAAUUCCCGGUGUAGCGGUGAAAAUGCGUAGAGAUCGGGAGGAACACCAGUGGCGAAGGCGGCCUUCUGGACCAGCACUGACACUCAAGCACGAAAGCGUGGGGAGCAAACAGG